CAGUAGCCGCGGUAACACGAAGGGGGCUAGCGUUGUUCGGAUUUACUGGGCGUAAAGCGCACGUAGGCGGAUCGAUCAGUCAGGGGUGAAAUCCCAGAGCUCAACUCUGGAACUGCCUUUGAUACUGUCGAUCUGGAGUAUGGAAGAGGUGAGUGGAAUUCCGAGUGUAGAGGUGAAAUUCGUAGAUAUUCGGAGGAACACCAGUGGCGAAGGCGGCUCACUGGUCCAUUACUGACGCUGAGGUGCGAAAGCGUGGGGAGCAAACAGGAUUAGAUACCCCCGUAGUCCCUGUCUCUUAUAA
This 301-nucleotide ribosomal RNA is filed under the name uncultured bacterium. Its description in RNAcentral is "partial 16S ribosomal RNA". It matches the Rfam family "Bacterial small subunit ribosomal RNA", at positions 509 to 809 of the family's 1533-position model. The record is from RNAcentral.